UUGGGGAAGCAACAGGCUCAGGAGACGGAGGAGAUUUUGCUGGUGGAGAACUAACAGGAACUGGAGUCGGUGGGGAGCUAACUGGAGUCGCGGAUGGAGGUGGUGUGGCCAAUGGAGCCGCAACUGGAACUGAAACCGUCUGUUUCGGUGGAGAAGCUGCUGGUGUUGCCGCAGGUGGUGAUGAUACGGGAGCUGGUGUUGUAGGUUUUGUUGGUGCUGCUACUGGCACGGCAGGAGUUGUUGGAGUCGCGGGAGUUGAUGUCGGUGUCGCAGC
RNAcentral lists this long non-coding RNA (274 nucleotides) under Populus trichocarpa (black cottonwood). RNAcentral describes it as "long non-coding RNA (PTRI_LNC001521)". Lineage: Eukaryota; Viridiplantae; Streptophyta; Magnoliopsida; Malpighiales; Salicaceae. The record is from RNAcentral.